GUGGGGAAUAUUGGACAAUGGGGGGAACCCUGAUCCAGCCAUGCCGCGUGUGUGAAGAAGGCCUUUUGGUUGUAAAGCACUUUAAGCGAGGAGGAGGCUACCGAGAUUAAUACUCUUGGAUAGUGGACGUUACUCGCAGAAUAAGCACCGGCUAACUCUGUGUCAGCAGCCGCGGUAAUACAGAGGGUGCAAGCGUUAAUCGGAUUUACUGGGCGUAAAGCGCGCGUAGGUGGCCAAUUAAGUCAAAUGUGAAAUCCCCGAGCUUAACUUGGGAAUUGCAUUCGAUACUGGUUGGCUAGAGUAUGGGAGAGGAUGGUAGAAUUCCAGGUGUAGCGGUGAAAUGCGUAGAGAUCUGGAGGAAUACCGAUGGCGAAGGCAGCCAUCUGGCCUAAUACUGACACUGAGGUGCGAAAGCAUGGGGAGCAAACAGGAUUAGAAACCCGUGUAGUCC
RNAcentral lists this ribosomal RNA (451 nucleotides) under uncultured bacterium. Its description in RNAcentral is "partial 16S ribosomal RNA". It matches the Rfam family "Bacterial small subunit ribosomal RNA", at positions 354 to 796 of the family's 1533-position model. The record is from RNAcentral.